AGCUUGUAGAACCAAGAAUCCCCAACGGCUCGUUACCAUGUCAUUUGUGUGGUUCUCUGUAGAGGGGCACAGGCGGACGUUCUACCACUAGGCCACGGAGGGGGUCUGUGGGUAUACAUGUAGUUCCUACCACAACAUUACCACGAACCAAGAAUCCUCAACGGCUCGUUACCAUGUCAUUUGUGUGGUUCUCUGUAGAGGGGCACAGGCGGACGUUCUACCACUAGGCCACGGAGGUGGUCUGUGGGUAUACAUGUAGUUCCUACCACAACAUUACCACGAACCAAGAAUGCUCAACGGCUCGUUACCAUGUCAUUUGUGUGGUUCUCUGUAGAGGGGCACAGACGGACGUUCUACCACUAGACCACGGAGGCGGUCUGUCUGUAUACAUGUAGUUCCUACCACAACAUUGCCACGAACCAAGAAUCCUCAACGGCUCGUUACCAUGUCAUUUGUGUGGUUCUCUGUAGAGUGGCACAGGCGGACGUUCUACCACUAGGCCACGGAGGCGGUCUGUCUGUAUACAUGUAGUUCCUACCACAACAUUACCACGAACCAAGAAUCCUCAACGACUCGUUACCAUGUCAUUUGUGUGGUUCUCUGUAGAGGGGCACAGGCGGACGUUCUACCACUAGGCCACGGAGGUGGUCUGUCUGUAUACAUGUAGUUCCUACCACAACAUUACCACGAACCAAGAAUCCUCAACGGCUCGUUACCAUGUCAUUUGUGUGGUUCUCUGUAGAGGGGCACAGACGGACGUUCUACCACUAGGCCACGGAGGCGGUCUGUCUGUAUACAUGUAGUUCCUACCACAACAUUACCACGAACCAAGAAUCCUCAACGGCUCGUUACCAUGUCAUUUGUGUGGUUCUCUGUAGAGGGGCACAGGCGGACGUUCUACCACUAGGCCACGGAGGCGGUCUGUGUGUAUACAUGUAGUUCCUACCACAACAUUACCACGAACCAAGAAUCCUCAACGGCUCGUUACCAUGUCAUUUGUGUGGUUCUCUGUAGAGGGGCACAGGCGGACGUUCUACCACUAGGCCACGGAGGUGGUCUGUGGGUAUACAUGUAGUUCCUACCACAACAUUACCACGAACCAAGAAUCCUCAACGGCUCGUUACCAUGUCAUUUGUGCGGUUCUGUGUAGAGGGGCACAGGCGGACGUUCUACCACUAGACCACGGAGGCGGUCUGUCUGUAUACAUGUAGUUCCUACCACAACAUUACCACGAACCAAGAAUCCUCAACGGCUCGUUACCAUGUCAUAUGUGUGGUUCUCUGUAGAGGGGCACAGGCGGACGUUCUACCACUAGGCCACGGAGGCGGUCUGUCUGUAUACAUGUAGUUCCUACCACAACAUUACCACGAACCAAGAAUGCUCAACGGCUCGUUACCAUGUCAUUUGUGUGGUUCUCUGUAGAGGGGCACAGGCGGACGUUCUACCACUAGGCCACGGAGGCGGUCUGUCUCUAUACAUGUAGUUUCUACCACAACAUUACCACGAACCAAGAAUGCUCAACGGCUCGUUACCAUGUCAUUUGUGUGGUUCUCUGUAAAGGGGCACAGGCGGACGUUCUACCACUAGGCCACGGAGGUGGUCUGUGGGUAUACAUGUAGUUCCUACCACAACAUUACCACGAACCAAGAAUGCUCAACGGCUCGUUACCAUGUCAUUUGUGUGGUUCUCUGUAGAGGGGCACAGGCGGACGUUCUACCACUAGGCCACGGAGGUGGUCUGUGGGUAUACAUGUAGUUCCUACCACAACAUUACCACGAACCAAGAAUCCUCAACGGCUCGUUACCAUGUCAUUUGUGUGGUUCCCUGUAGAGGGGCACAGGCGGACGUUCUACCACAAGACCACGGGGGUGGUCCCCCUGCCACACAGGACGCACCUGCCACUCACACACAAAAUAAUCAGUCGGCGUUAUCGGCGGUUUACGACACUGUCAUGUCGACGAAGGCGCUGGGGAACUUUGUACAGUGUCCUGUCUGUAGGACCAGUCACAUCCCCACGAAAGGGAUACUUCAAAAUGGCGUCUAUGCUUCUACCUGUGAAAACUGUGGCCACUUCUUCAAGUUCAAGGCCACAGGUCCUCUCAAGUCCUCGGUUACAUUCACCAUCAAUGCAACUUCGUACACAGUUGGCAACCAGUAUGCUGCAGCUCUGUCCCUGAAUGAGUUCAUGAGGUCCCAGGGCGUGUCCUAUGGCACCAAGGUGAUGUGUAUGGAGGGAGGGUGUGGCGUGUGCCUCGUCACUACCACACUGUAUGAUCCCAUCACAAAGUCCGUGCAGACCUACACAGUCAACUCGUGCCUCGUUCCUCUCUACACGUGUGACGGCAUGCAAGUGACAACCGUCGAGGGUCUGGGCAACCCCAGGGACGGCCUACACCCGAUACAAGACCGUCUGGCACAGUACAAUGGCUCUCAGUGUGGCUUCUGUAGCCCCGCCCAGGUUAUGAACAUGUAUGGGCUGCUCAAGAAAACACCGAACCCGACCAUGCAACAAGUGGAAAAUGCCUUUGAUGUCUCCAUCUGCAGAUGUACAGGCUAUAGACCAAUACUGGACGCCAUGAAGUCAUUCGCCUCUGAUGCCGCACCUAACCUUAUCGGCGGGACCAUUGAUAUUGAAGAACUGGACAAGAAGAUAUGCAGCAAAUCCGGGAAGACCUGCACAGGACGCUGUUCAUCUGAUAGACAGACUGACACGGAGCACGUCCCCCUCCACAUUGUGCUGCAGGGGUCACAGUGGUACAAACCGACCAACAGACAGCAGCUGUACGCCCUCCUCGGCCAACACAAGGGAGACAACUACAGACUCGUGUUUGGAAAUUCAGGAUAUGGUGUGUAUAAAGAGAUCGGCCCAUGGAUGUUUGAUGUCCUCAUUGACCUGCGUGGCAUCCAAGAGUUCUAUGACAUAUCAAUUGACUCCUCCAAAGUGAUGUUUGGUCCUAGCAUCACCCUGACCAACAUGAUGGAGGUAUUUCUGAAAAACAGCACCAACCCUGAUCUGUCCUACUUCCGGGAUUUCGCCAACCACGUGGCCGUCAUUGCUAACACCGGAGUCAGGAAUUUGGGCAGCUGGGCAGGUAACCUGAUGCUGAAGAACCUGCACACAGAGUUCCCGUCUGAUGUCUUCGCCAUGUUCGAGACGGUCGGGGCAACCCUGACUAUUGGAUCGAGUGAUGGUUCGGAGAAAUCAGUCAGCCUCAUGGAGUUCCUGAACCUAGACAUGAAGGGGAAGGUCAUCCUGUCCGUCAUGCUUCCGACGUUCCCAUCCGGAGACGUGCAUGUUAAGACCUUCAAGGUUGCCCCCAGACAUCAGAAUGCCCACGCCUAUGUGACAGCAGGCUUCAGGAUGCAGCUGGACAAGAACGUCAACUUCAGAGUCAAGACAAAACCAUCCCUGGUGUACGGCGGCAUCAACAAGACACUGGUUCACGCCAGCAACACAGAGACGUUCCUACAGGGCAAGGAGUUGGGGGAUUCUACAGUACUCAAAGAUGCUAUAGCCACUCUUACGGCCGAACUGGUUCCCGACACCACCCCUGGCCUGUCCAGUACAACCUACAGGAAGACACUGGCCGUCUCCCUCUUCUACAAGUAUGUGCUCGGCGUGUGUGGUGAGAAAGCAGCGAAAAGAUUCCAGAGUGGUGGCACCAACUUGAUACGGCCAGUUUCAUCCGGCACUCAGACAUAUGACAGUCGUAAAGAUGAAUACCCUUUGACUAAACCUAUGACCAAGGUGGACGCGACCCUACAGACAUCAGGUAGGGUCAAGUACGUCAACGACAUACCACCGGUUCAAGAAGAAGUCUUCGCCGCUUUCGUCAUCAGCAGCGUCGGAAACGCCGACAUCGAUACCGUGGACACGGCCUUAGCUCUGGCGUAUCCUGGAGCCUUGAAGUACAUAUCUGCAGCUGAUAUACCCAAAGGAGGCAGAAACAGCUUCAGGGAACCUACAGUCGAAGUUGAGGAGUUGUUUUGCAGUGGGAAGGUCCUAUACAGUGGACAGCCAAUUGGCAUCAUCGUCGCAGUGGACAAACUAUCAGCGGACACAGCAGCCAGCAUGGUGAAGGUUACCUACAAGAACGUCCAGCCUCCCAUCAUUACAAUGGAAGAUGCCAUUCAGAAGAAAUCCAUAUUUCCAAAUGCUGCCCAAGAGUUUAAAAAGGGCGAUGCUGCAGCUGCAAUAGCUGGCUCAGACAAGCAGAUCUCAGGUCGAAUCAAAGUAGGGCAUCAGUACCAUUUCCAGAUGGAAACUCAGGUGAGCAUCUGCUACCCCGCAGAGGAUGGGGUGGGCGUGAGUCUUCUCUCGUCAACACAGUGGUCGGAUAUGGAACAGUUGAUCGUUGCCAAACUCCUUAACAUCCCUGAAAGCAGUGUUAACGUUACGGUCACCCGUCUGGGGGGAUCAUACGGAUCCAAGAUUACACGUGCCCACCAAACAGCAUCAGCAGCUGCACUGGCCACACAUAUCAUGAGGAGGCCAGUUCGACUCAGUAUGAACUUCCACACCAACAUGAAGACAGUCGGGAAACGUUUCCCUUAUCUUGCAGAUUACAAAAUCGGCGUCAACAAUGACGGCAAGCUGAAUGGAAUCCAGAUGACUGUUAACACUGACUGCGGUGCGUCCCCCAAUGACAACAUCUUAGCGGCAAUUCCAGAAUGGUUGGACAAUGCCUACUUCUGUCCUGCGUGGGACUUUAAACCUAUAGCCCUGAAGACGAACCUUCCCGCCAACACCUAUUGCCGGGCCCCAGGAUCCUGCCCCGCCAUCUUCAUCAUGGAAGCCAUGAUGGAACAUGUGGCCAAGGUUUUCCACAAAGACCCGCUGGAAUUCAGGAAGUUAAAUUUGUUCGACAAAGGUCAGGCGUCUGUCACUGGAAUGGUUCUGAAGUACUGCAACAUCAAGGACAUGGUGGCUCAACUGGAGAAGUCAGCCGAUGUCCAGACAAGGAAACAACAAGUUGCAGCUUUCAACCAGGCCAACAGAUGGAAGAAGAAGGGUAUCUCUGUGAUGCCUCUCCGAUGGGACCAGGACUACGCAGGCAACAAUCCCAACUACAACGUCUACAUGACUGUCUACCACGGGGAUGGUUCCGUCGCUAUUUCGAUCGGCGGUGUGGAGGUGGGCCAGGGAAUCAACACCAAGAUGAUGCAAGUCUGUGCCUUUGAGCUGGGUAUUCCUAUGGACACGAUCAAGGUAAAGCCAACGACAACCAUGGCUGACUCCAACUCCUACAUGACCGGAGGCAGCAUCACCAGCGAAGUCAACGCACUGUACCAAUCCAACAGGAGAGUCCAGUAACUACAACAUCUACGGCGCAACGUGCACAGAGGUCGAGGUGGACGUUCUGACAGGGGAGAACCAGAUCAACCGAGUGGACAUCCUGUAUGACUGUGGAGAAAGCAUGAACCCCGAGAUUGAUGUAGGACAAGCAGAGGGUGCGUUUGUGAUGGGCUUGGGCUACUGGAUGACCGAACAGAUGAUCUUUGACCCCACGACUGGCACCGCCCUGACGGCCGGA
RNAcentral lists this unclassified non-coding RNA (5534 nucleotides) under Haliotis rufescens (red abalone). Its description in RNAcentral is "xanthine dehydrogenase-like, transcript variant X4". The record is from RNAcentral. Lineage: Eukaryota; Metazoa; Mollusca; Gastropoda; Lepetellida; Haliotidae.